GGUUAAGCGACUAAGCGUACACGGUGGAUGCCCUGGCAGUCAGAGGCGAUGAAGGACGUGCUAAUCUGCGAAAAGCGUCGGUAAGGUGAUAUGAACCGUUAUAACCGGCGAUGUCCGAAUGGGGAAACCCAGUGCAAUUCGUUGCACUAUCGUUAACUGAAUACAUAGGUUAACGAGGCGAACCGGGGGAACUGAAACAUCUAAGUACCCCGAGGAAAAGAAAUCAACCGAGAUUCCCCCAGUAGCGGCGAGCGAACGGGGAGCAGCCCGGAGUCUGAAUCAGCUUGUGUGUUAGUGGAAGCGUCUGGAAAGUCGCAGGGUACAGGGUGAUACUCCCGUACACUAAAACGCACAGGCUGUGAACUCGAAGAGUAGGGCGGGACACGUGGUAUCCUGUCUGAAUAUGGGGGGACCAUCCUCCAAGGCUAAAUACUCCUGACUGACCGAUAGUGAACCAGUACCGUGAGGGAAAGGCGAAAAGAACCCCGGCGAGGGGAGUGAAAAAGAACCUGAAACCGUGUACGUACAAGCAGUAGGAGCCCACUAGUUGGGUGACUGCGUACCUUUUGUAUAAUGGGUCAGCGACUUAUAUUCUGUAGCAAGGUUAACCGAAUAGGGGAGCCGCAGGGAAACCGAGUCUUAACUGGGCGUUAAGUUGCAGGGUAUAGACCCGAAACCCGGUGAUCUAGCCAUGGGCAGGUUGAAGGUUGGGUAACACUAACUGGAGGACCGAACCGACUAAUGUUGAAAAAUUAGCGGAUGACUUGUGGCUGGGGGUGAAAGGCCAAUCAAACCGGGAGAUAGCUGGUUCUCCCCGAAAGCUAUUUAGGUAGCGCCUCGUGAACUCAUCUUCGGGGGUAGAGCACUGUUUCGGCUAGGGGGUCAUCCCGACUUACCAACCCGAUGCAAACUACGAAUACCGAAGAAUGUUAUCACGGGAGACACACGGCGGGUGCUAACGUCCGUCGUGAAGAGGGAAACAACCCAGACCGCCAGCUAAGGUCCCAAAGUCAUGGUUAAGUGGGAAACGAUGUGGGAAGGCCCAGACAGCCAGGAUGUUGGCUUAGAAGCAGCCAUCAUUUAAAGAAAGCGUAAUAGCUCACUGGUCGAGUCGGCCUGCGCGGAAGAUGUAACGGGGCUAAACCAUGCACCGAAGCUGCGGCAGCGACGCUUAUGCGUUGUUGGGUAGGGGAGCGUUCUGUAAGCCGUUGAAGGUGGCCUGUGAGGGUUGCUGGAGGUAUCAGAAGUGCGAAUGCUGACAUAAGUAACGAUAAUGCGGGUGAAAAACCCGCACGCCGGAAGACCAAGGGUUCCUGUCCAACGUUAAUCGGGGCAGGGUGAGUCGACCCCUAAGGCGAGGCCGAAAGGCGUAGUCGAUGGGAAACAGGUUAAUAUUCCUGUACUUGGUGUUACUGCGAAGGGGGGACGGAGAAGGCUAUGUUGGCCGGGCGACGGUUGUCCCGGUUUAAGCAUGUAGGCGGAUGUUCCAGGUAAAUCCGGAACGUUACUAACGCUGAGGUGUGAUGACGAGGCACUACGGUGCUGAAGUGACAAAUGCCCUGCUUCCAGGAAAAGCCUCUAAGCAUCAGGUAACAUCAAAUCGUACCCCAAACCGACACAGGUGGUCAGGUAGAGAAUACCAAGGCGCUUGAGAGAACUCGGGUGAAGGAACUAGGCAAAAUGGUGCCGUAACUUCGGGAGAAGGCACGCUGAUGGUAGGUGAAGUGACUUGCUCAUGGAGCUGAAAUCAGUCGAAGAUACCAGCUGGCUGCAACUGUUUAUUAAAAACACAGCACUGUGCAAACACGAAAGUGGACGUAUACGGUGUGACGCCUGCCCGGUGCCGGAAGGUUAAUUGAUGGGGUUAUCCUCGCGGAGAAGCUCUUGAUCGAAGCCCCGGUAAACGGCGGCCGUAACUAUAACGGUCCUAAGGUAGCGAAAUUCCUUGUCGGGUAAGUUCCGACCUGCACGAAUGGCGUAAUGAUGGCCAGGCUGUCUCCACCCGAGACUCAGUGAAAUUGAACUCGCUGUGAAGAUGCAGUGUACCCGCGGCAAGACGGAAAGACCCCGUGAACCUUUACUAUAGCUUGACACUGAACACUGGUCCUUGAUGUGUAGGAUAGGUGGGAGGCUUUGAAGUGUGGACGCCAGUCUGCAUGGAGCCAUCCUUGAAAUACCACCCUUUAAUGGCUGGUGUUCUAACGUGGGCCCGUGAUCCGGGUUGCGGACAGUGUCUGGUGGGUAGUUUGACUGGGGCGGUCUCCUCCUAAAGAGUAACGGAGGAGCACGAAGGUCAGCUAAUCCUGGUCGGACAUCAGGAGGUUAGUGCAAUGGCAUAAGCUGGCUUGACUGCGAGCGUGACGGCGCGAGCAGGUGCGAAAGCAGGUCAUAGUGAUCCGGUGGUUCUGAAUGGAAGGGCCAUCGCUCAACGGAUAAAAGGUACUCCGGGGAUAACAGGCUGAUACCGCCCAAGAGUUCAUAUCGACGGCGGUGUUUGGCACCUCGAUGUCGGCUCAUCACAUCCUGGGGCUGAAGUAGGUCCCAAGGGUAUGGCUGUUCGCCAUUUAAAGUGGUACGCGAGCUGGGUUUAGAACGUCGUGAGACAGUUCGGUCCCUAUCUGCCGUGGGCGCUGGAGAAUUGAGGGGGGCUGCUCCUAGUACGAGAGGACCGGAGUGGACGCAUCACUGGUGUUCGGGUUGUCAUGCCAAUGGCAUUGCCCGGUAGCUAAAUGCGGAAGAGAUAAGUGCUGAAAGCAUCUAAGCACGAAACUUGCCCCGAGAUGAGUUCUCCCUGACCCUUUAAGGGUCCUGAAGGAACGUUGAAGACGACGACGUUGAUAGGCCGGGUGUGUAAGCGCAGCGAUGCGUUGAGCUAACCGGUACUAAUGAACCGUGAGGCUUAACCUU
RNAcentral lists this ribosomal RNA (2907 nucleotides) under Klebsiella oxytoca. RNAcentral describes it as "23S ribosomal RNA". It matches the Rfam family "Bacterial large subunit ribosomal RNA". The record is from RNAcentral. Lineage: Bacteria; Pseudomonadati; Pseudomonadota; Gammaproteobacteria; Enterobacterales; Enterobacteriaceae.